CAGCCGCCGCGGUAAUACGAAGGGGGCUAGCGUUGCUCGGAAUUACUGGGCGUAAAGGGCGCGUAGGCGGACAGCUAAGUUGGGGGUGAAAGCCCGGGGCUCAACCUCGGAAUUGCCUUCAAUACUGGCUGUCUUGAGUACGGGAGAGGUGAGUGGAACUCCGAGUGUAGAGGUGAAAUUCGUAGAUAUUCGGAAGAACACCAGUGGCGAAGGCGACUCACUGGCCCGUUACUGACGCUGAGGCGCGAAAGCGUGGGGAGCAAACAGGAUUAGAUACCCGGUAGUCCCUGUCUCUUAUACA
This 301-nucleotide ribosomal RNA is filed under the name uncultured bacterium. RNAcentral describes it as "partial 16S ribosomal RNA". It matches the Rfam family "Bacterial small subunit ribosomal RNA", at positions 509 to 808 of the family's 1533-position model. The record is from RNAcentral.